AGUGAACGCUGGCGGUAGGCCUAACACAUGCAAGUCGAACGGCAGCACAGUAAGAGCUUGCUCUUACGGGUGGCGAGUGGCGGACGGGUGAGGAAUACAUCGGCAUCUACUUUUUCGUGGGGGAUAACGUAGGGAAACUUACGCUAAUACCGCAUACGACCUACGGGUGAAAGCAGGGGAUCUUCGGACCUUGCGCGAUUGAAUGAGCCGAUGUCGGAUUAGCUAGUUGGCGGGGUAAAGGCCCACCAAGGCGACGAUCCGUAGCUGGUCUGAGAGGAUGAUCAGCCACACUGGAACUGAGACACGGUCCAGACUCCUACGGGAGGCAGCAGUGGGGAAUAUUGGGCAAUGGGCGCAAGCCUGAUCCAGCCAUACCGCGUGGGUGAAGAAGGCCUUCGGGUUGUAAAGCCCUUUUGUUGGGAAAGAAAAGCAGCAGGUUAAUACCCCGCUGUUCUGACGGUACCCAAAGAAUAAGCACCGGCUAACUUCGUG
RNAcentral lists this ribosomal RNA (492 nucleotides) under uncultured bacterium. RNAcentral describes it as "partial 16S ribosomal RNA". It matches the Rfam family "Bacterial small subunit ribosomal RNA", at positions 29 to 507 of the family's 1533-position model. The record is from RNAcentral.